UCUUUUUUAACCGACUUCCAAAAAAGGAGGAGGUUCUUAAUUCGACUGUAUUUUUUUUUUUUUUUUUAUGUUACAUCAGAACUUUUGACCGGGUAGACCGAUUUCGACAAAUUUUGUUUUAAUCGAAAGGUGGUGUGUGCCAAUUGGUCCCAUUUAAAUUUAUUUGAGAUCUAACAACUACUUUUCGAGUUAUAUCUAAUAAUGCGUUUUUACUUGACGCUUUUUUCGUCGACCUACGUUGUAUUAUACCACAUAACUUUUUACUGGAUGUGCCGA
This 276-nucleotide unclassified non-coding RNA is filed under the name Melitaea cinxia (Glanville fritillary). RNAcentral describes it as "misc RNA ENSMCXG00005020239.1". The record is from RNAcentral. Lineage: Eukaryota; Metazoa; Arthropoda; Insecta; Lepidoptera; Nymphalidae.